CCUUUGUAUACGUUUCAAAGUAUUGAAAUUAACAGCAAGAUAAUCGGGAAGUUGGUGCGUUUUCAAGACGAUAACAACCCCAACACUGCCCCCGCAACGGUAAAGUAUUAGCAGCUAUUAUAGUGUUGACUGAGUCCGGAGACCGGCCUUGAAGUAAUCUUACUU
RNAcentral lists this non-coding RNA (165 nucleotides) under Pseudoalteromonas haloplanktis. RNAcentral also lists the same sequence under 1 other name. Lineage: Bacteria; Pseudomonadati; Pseudomonadota; Gammaproteobacteria; Alteromonadales; Pseudoalteromonadaceae. The record is from RNAcentral.